RNAcentral lists this ribosomal RNA (491 nucleotides) under uncultured bacterium. Its description in RNAcentral is "bacterial SSU rRNA". It matches the Rfam family "Bacterial small subunit ribosomal RNA", at positions 355 to 860 of the family's 1533-position model. The record is from RNAcentral.
UGGGGAAUCUUGGACAAUGGGGGCAACCCUGAUCCAGCCAUGCCGCGUGAGUGAUGAAGGCCUUAGGGUCGUAAAGCUCUUUCGCCUGUGAAGAUAAUGACGGUAGCAGGUAAAGAAACCCCGGCUAACUCCGUGCCAGCAGCCGCGGUAAUACGGAGGGGGUUAGCGUUGUUCGGAAUUACUGGGCGUAAAGCGCACGUAGGCGGACCAGAAAGUUGGGGGUGAAAUCCCGGGGGCUCAACCCCGGAACUGCCUCCAAAACUAUUGGUCUAGAGUUCGAGAGAGGUGAGUGGAAUUCCAAGUGUAGAGGUGAAAUUCGUAGAUAUUUGGAGGAACACCAGUGGCGAAGGCGGCUCACUGGCUCGAUACUGACGCUGAGGUGCGAAAGUGUGGGGAGCAAACAGGAUUAGAUACCCUGGGUAGUCCACGCCGUAAAACGAUGUCUACUAGCCGUUGGGAGACUUGAUUUCUUAGUGGCGCAGCUAACGCAC